This is a long non-coding RNA of Saccostrea cuccullata (small rock oyster), 220 nucleotides long. RefSeq lists it as uncharacterized. The transcript has 4 exons. NCBI's taxonomy places the organism in Eukaryota, Metazoa, Mollusca, Bivalvia, Ostreida, Ostreidae. The record is from RefSeq and is a predicted model, not a curated record.
CAGAUAUGUUAAUUCUGUCCUUAGAGAUGAUUUUGAGAAAAUUUCAACUGGAGGAAAAUCAAAAGAUUUUGAAGGAAUCAGAAAUUUGGAACACAGCGAAGAAGAAGAAGUAGUGCAAACCGAUCCAAAAACACAGGAAAUCCUUCAAGAAUACAGUGCAUUUAAAAACUAUUUUGUCGAAACUCAACUUUACGAAAUAAUAAAAGAGAAAAUGGAAACA